Molecule: ribosomal RNA, 468 nt
Filed under: uncultured bacterium
Lineage: Bacteria
Description: partial 16S ribosomal RNA
Rfam family: Bacterial small subunit ribosomal RNA
Source: RNAcentral
GACGAACGCUGGCGGCGUGCUUAACACAUGCAAGUCGAACGGAAAGGCCCUGCUGUUGUGGGGUGCUCGAGUGGCGAACGGGUGAGUAACACGUGGGUAACCUGCCCUUGACUUUGGGAUAACUUCAGGAAACUGGGGCUAAUACCGGAUAGGAGCUCCUGCUGCAUGGUGGGGGUUGGAAAGUUUCGGCGGUUGGGGAUGGACUCGCGGCUUAUCAGCUUGUUGGUGGGGUAGUGGCUUACCAAGGCGUUGACGGGUAGCCGGCCUGAGAGGGUGACCGGCCACAUUGGGACUGAGAUACGGCCCAGACUCCUACGGGAGGCAGCAGUGGGGAAUAUUGCACAAUGGGCGGAAGCCUGAUGCAGCAACGCCGCGUGCGGGAUGACGGCCUUCGGGUUGUAAACCGCUUUCGCCUGUGACGAAGCGUGAGUGACGGUAAUGAGUAAAGAAGCACCGGCUAACUACGUG